AGUUAUGGCGGCUGUGCGUGGGACGCCUUUGGGCGUGCCGGUUCCAUGGUUCCCGGUUUUCCAACCUGCGUACAGCCGCCACCUAU
Molecule: non-coding RNA, 86 nt
Filed under: Pseudomonas arsenicoxydans
Lineage: Bacteria; Pseudomonadati; Pseudomonadota; Gammaproteobacteria; Pseudomonadales; Pseudomonadaceae
Source: RNAcentral